This 400-nucleotide ribosomal RNA is filed under the name phytoplankton environmental sample. RNAcentral's name for it is "partial small subunit ribosomal RNA". It matches the Rfam family "Eukaryotic small subunit ribosomal RNA", at positions 587 to 991 of the family's 1831-position model. The record is from RNAcentral.
AGCUCCAAUAGCGUAUAUUAAAGUUGUUGCAGUUAAAAAGCUCGUAGUUGGAUUUGUGGCGUACGGUGGGUUCCGGGCACUUGUUGUCUGAGUAACUUGCCGUUGCCAUCCUUGGGUGGAACCUGUGUGGCAUUAGGUUGUCGUGCAGGGGAUGCCCAUCAUUUACUGUGAAAAAAUUAGAGUGUUCAAAGCAGGCUUAUGCCGUUGAAUAUAUUAGCAUGGAAUAAUGAGAUAGGACUUCGUCACUAUUUUGUUGGUUUGCGUGAUGAGGUAAUGAUUAAUAGGGACAGUUGGGGGUAUUCGUAUUCCAUUGUCAGAGGUGAAAUUCUUGGAUUUUUGGAAGACGAACUACUGCGAAAGCAUUUACCAAGGAUGUUUUCAUUAAUCAAGAACGAAAGUA